GGAAUUGUAGCUCAGUGGUGGAGUGCUUGUCUUGCAAGCAUGAGGCACUGGGUUCAAUCCUCAGCACCA
Molecule: transfer RNA, 69 nt
Filed under: Ictidomys tridecemlineatus (thirteen-lined ground squirrel)
Lineage: Eukaryota; Metazoa; Chordata; Mammalia; Rodentia; Sciuridae
Description: Spermophilus tridecemlineatus (thirteen-lined ground squirrel) tRNA
Rfam family: tRNA
About the family: Transfer RNA (tRNA) molecules are approximately 80 nucleotides in length. Their secondary structure includes four short double-helical elements and three loops (D, anti-codon, and T loops).
Source: Rfam by way of RNAcentral